Long non-coding RNA from Halichondria panicea, 572 nucleotides. RefSeq lists it as uncharacterized. The transcript has 4 exons. Lineage: Eukaryota; Metazoa; Porifera; Demospongiae; Suberitida; Halichondriidae. The record is from RefSeq and is a predicted model, not a curated record.
AUAACAGCUGAAUCAGCAAACCACGUGGUCACCCAGCACCCAUGGAACAUAGAGCAAGUGGCUAACUAUUGUCUCAGUGUUAGGUGAAGGCUUUGUCCAGUCCUAUAAUUUGUAGACCACAGUGACAUAGCCAGGACUAUGGAGAGAGACCAUUGCUGAGGAGGUGGGAAUGGCAAGUUCCUGGCCAAUCAGAUGAUCCUACAUGACGAAGCUGCUCGUAAAGAUGCAAGUCUGAUGACAAACUCAGGAUGAUGAACGUCAAGUUCAACCUGAAUGCCCAAGAGUUCAAACCUCCGAGAGCAAGCUUCUCUCCAGUGGUCACUGCCUCCUCCACACCUCUCCGAGACAAGGCGACUAUAGAGUCCUCAGCCUCUACCCUACAGGAGCAAAAUAAUUCCGUUUUUGCUUGUUUCACCAAACUGGAGGUAAAAGUUUACGUAAGGACUUUGAGAAGGAGCGGGAAAAUGAGUACAAAGAGAAGUACCUCUCGCUAUUAGGAUGAGUGCUGACUCGGCUCUGUUUAAGUCCAAGAGCAAGAAAUCAAAGUGGCUCGACUAGUGAGUUGUGUCACG